AUUUGUCAAGUAUCCAUAUGUAUAAUUGACUUCCAAUCAAAAGGUCUGAAAUAAUUCAGGACAAAUA
This 67-nucleotide transfer RNA is filed under the name unidentified. Its description in RNAcentral is "Peltoperlopsis sagittata tRNA-Gly". The record is from RNAcentral.